UGCCUAAUACAUGCAAGUCGAGCGAGCUGAACCAACAGAUUCACUUCGGUGAUGACGUUGGGAACGCGAGCGGCGGAUGGGUGAGUAACACGUGGGGAACCUGCCCCAUAGUCUGGGAUACCACUUGGAAACAGGUGCUAAUACCGGAUAAGAAAGCAGAUCGCAUGAUCCGCUUAUAAAAGGCGGCGUAAGCUGUCGCUAUGGGAUGGCCCCGCGGUGCAUUAGCUAGUUGGUAGGGUAACGGCCUACCAAGGCAAUGAUGCAUAGCCGAGUUGAGAGACUGAUCGGCCACAUUGGGACUGAGACACGGCCCAAAC
This 317-nucleotide ribosomal RNA is filed under the name Lactobacillus sp. Its description in RNAcentral is "bacterial SSU rRNA". It matches the Rfam family "Bacterial small subunit ribosomal RNA", at positions 45 to 336 of the family's 1533-position model. Lineage: Bacteria; Bacillati; Bacillota; Bacilli; Lactobacillales; Lactobacillaceae. The record is from RNAcentral.